Molecule: long non-coding RNA, 1626 nt
Organism: Syngnathoides biaculeatus (alligator pipefish)
Lineage: Eukaryota; Metazoa; Chordata; Actinopteri; Syngnathiformes; Syngnathidae
Exons: 3
Source: RefSeq, a predicted model, not a curated record
UCUUUUUAAGCACUUUAUAAUAAUCUCUCCCAAAAAUCACAAUGAAAAACAUGGUUACUAUGAUAUUCUGUUUUAUUCAUACUGUUUAAGGCAAUGGAACUGGUGGUUCACCAUCACCAUGACGAACCCUGAGACCUUCAAAACCAAGACAUCUACCGUCAACCAUGAGCCAUCCACAACCAACCAUGAGCCUCUUCCAUUUCUCCAAAGAGAGUUGGCCCAUGGUUCCAAAAAAAAAGUGCUGAUGCUGCUUACUGAGAUAAGGGACACCGUCAGGCAUCAAGACCAUAGGGCAGCACAAGAAGAGAACAUCGACAUUGUACAGAUAAAAUCUCUGGUUGCCUUCAUUGUCCUUGAACAGAAGGUGACGGAAGAUUCUUCUGCUUCUGCAGAACUGAAUGUGUCUUAAACCACGAGGGGACCCUGAGUGAUGUACAAAGUGCGGUCACGUCAUGCCUGAAAUACGCGCCUGACAGAUGCGGUGGCAGUGGCAGGAAACAGGACGGGAGGAACCCAGGUGGACAGUAAAUAUGAGAGACACAGUGAAAUAUAAUUUAUUUUGUUUGAAAAAUAAAUUAAGCAAAAACUCAUUUGUUCUAAAUGACAGAAAAAAAGUAUUCUAAAUGUUAAACAUACAUGUAUUUGGGCUGAAUAACCUAAUUUGUAAUUGUCUGUAGUUUGAAAAACAGUUUGGUUUCACACCGCAACUAGAAUGCUUUAAUGGAUCAAUUUCCAUGUAGCCUGGCACUGGUGUUUCUGUAUUCCAAGGCAACGAAUGUAUGUGGGAUUGUCACAUUAAUGCAAUUUACGAAUACAAUGGAGAAGCAAUGUUUCAGUUCUUUAGGACAGUUCUAUAGAACUUUCUUCAGAACACAGUUCUAUAGAACUUGGGUCCUAAAGUUCUGUUGAGUUUAUAUAGCAUUUCUAUGGAAUGUUUCUAUAGAAUUUCUUUAGAACUUUUCGAUACAAUAUUUUUAGCAGGGGUUGAUUGAUGAGGUUAAGGAUAUGAUCCAGGAAGUGUUGGCAGGCAGCAGAGUGGACGAAACAGACGGCUGGCUUGUUGGCAGGAAUGAAGAGGGUCCUACCAUUUAAUAAACUGUUUUUUGAAAUGAACAGUAUUUGUCUGAUGCCUCUCAUAAUUUCAAAGUCAGGGAUUUAUAUAUACACAUGUAUUAAUUUUCUGUUAAUUCGGGAGUUAAACAGCGUCAUAUGACAUAAAAUGUGGCUUUGUAAAUAUCAAACAUGUAAUACGGUUCAUUUCGGCAUUCUAGGGCUAGUGUAGGUCAUGGAUCAUGUCACACUACAAGACAUUUUGCCGUUCUUGAGUAUGACAGGGCAAUCUGGGAAACGGGCUGCAAUUGUUAAUAGGGCCAAUAUCAGCGCUAAAACGAGACAUGCCAAGUUUAAACUGAAAUCUUUGUAUUGUUUCAUUUUUGUUUGAAAUUACUUUGCUGGAAAAGUUUGUAAACAUGUAAAUACAGUUUGCUGCCAUGCAUAAUGUGAAAUUAUAAAAAAUGCUAUUACCCAAAUGACGAAAACAAUGGGUCAUUCGGUAUUAAAAACAAUGUCUCAUUCGUAAUUGCUCUUAAACCAAACAAGAUAUUUAAUCCAAAUAAUUGAUUACAG